GAUGAACGCUGGCGGCGUGCCUAAUACAUGCAAGUCGAGCGAACAGACGAGGAGCUUGCUCCUCUGACGUUAGCGGCGGACGGGUGAGUAACCCGUGGAUAACCUACCUAUAAGACUGGGAUAACUUCGGGAAACCGGAGCUAAUACCGGAUAACAUGUUGAACCGCAUGGUUCAACAGUGAAGGACGGUCUUGCUGUCACUUAUAGAUGGAUCCGCGCCGCAUUAGCUAGUUGGUAAGGUAACGGCUUACCAAGGCAACGAUGCGUAGCCGACCUGAGAGGGUGAUCGGCCACACUGGAACUGAGACACGGUCCAGACUCCUACGGGAGGCAGCAGUAGGGAAUCUUCCGCAAUGGGCGAAAGCCUGACGGAGCAACGCCGCGUGAGUGAAGAAGGUCUUCGGAUCGUAAAACUCUGUUAUUAGGGAAGAACAAAUGUGUAAGUAACUAUGCACGUCUUGACGGUACCUAAUCAGAAAGCCACGGCUAACUACGUG
RNAcentral lists this ribosomal RNA (497 nucleotides) under uncultured bacterium. Its description in RNAcentral is "partial 16S ribosomal RNA". It matches the Rfam family "Bacterial small subunit ribosomal RNA", at positions 28 to 507 of the family's 1533-position model. The record is from RNAcentral.